GACGAACGCUGGCGGCGCGCCUAACACAUGCAAGUCGAACGAGAGAGAGGAAGCUUGCUUCCUUAAUCGAGUGGCGAACGGGUGAGUAACGCGUAUCGAACCUGCCUCAUACUCGGGGAUAGCCUUGCGAAAGUAAGAUUAAUACCCGGCGGUCUCGGACGGCCGCAUGACAGUCCGAGUGAAGAUUUAUCGGUAUGAGAUGGCGAUGCGUCCCAUUAGCUUGUUGGUGGGGUAAUGGCUCACCAAGGCAUCGAUGGGUAGGGGUUCUGAGAGGAAGGUCCCCCACAUUGGAACUGAGACACGGUCCAA
Molecule: ribosomal RNA, 309 nt
Filed under: uncultured bacterium
Lineage: Bacteria
Description: bacterial SSU rRNA
Rfam family: Bacterial small subunit ribosomal RNA
Source: RNAcentral